CAGUCGCCGCGGUAAUACGAAGGGUGCAAGCGUUACUCGGAAUUACUGGGCGUAAAGCGUGCGUAGGUGGUGGUUUAAGUCUGCUGUGAAAGCCCUGGGCUCAACCUGGGAAUUGCAGUGGAUACUGGAUCACUAGAGUGUGGUAGAGGAAUGCGGAAUUUCUGGUGUAGCAGUGAAAUGCGUAGAGAUCAGAAGGAACAUCCGUGGCGAAGGCGGCAUCCUGGGCUAACACUGACGCUGAGGCACGAAAGCGUGGGGAGCAAACAGGAUUAGAUACCCGUGUAGUCCCUGUCUCUUAUAC
This 301-nucleotide ribosomal RNA is filed under the name uncultured bacterium. RNAcentral's name for it is "partial 16S ribosomal RNA". It matches the Rfam family "Bacterial small subunit ribosomal RNA", at positions 509 to 807 of the family's 1533-position model. The record is from RNAcentral.